AGGAGGAGGUGGCUGACUCCAGUUGACUGACUCUGUGUGUUUGCAUAUGUGUCCUGCCUCUCUGCUCCCAGCCGUUAAGAGGCCAGUGUUGAUCAGUGGCUGUCCAGGCCUUUCACAGCCACUGACACGCCGGCAGCACAAUGAUGAUGUCACUGAUUCUACUGCUGGCCACCCUGGGGCUCCUUGUUCAGGAUUCAUCAGGAGAAAUCAUCCUGACUCAGUCUCCUGGAUCUCAGUCUGUUGCUCCAGGACAAACUGUCUCCAUCACGUGUUCAGCCAGUUCAAACGUUUUUAGUUGGCUCCACUGGUACCUUCAGAAACCUGGAGAAGCUCCUAAACUCCUGAUUUAUAAAGCUACAAACCGUCAGUCUGGAGUUUCAGAUCGUUUUAGUGGAAGUGGAUCUGGGACUGACUUCACUCUGACCAUCAGAGGAGUUCAGGCUGAAGAUUCAGGAGUUUACUACUGUCAGCAGAGUAACAGCGAACAGCUCACACAGUGAUACAACGUCGUACAAAAA
Molecule: non-coding RNA, 518 nt
Organism: Epinephelus fuscoguttatus (brown-marbled grouper)
Lineage: Eukaryota; Metazoa; Chordata; Actinopteri; Perciformes; Serranidae
Source: the annotation of a RefSeq genome assembly